AUUGAACGCUGGCGGCAGGCUUAACACAUGCAAGUCGAGCGGGGUGAUGGUGCUUGCACUAUCACUUAGCGGCGGACGGGUGAGUAAUGCUUAGGAAUCUGCCUAUUAGUGGGGGACAACAUCUCGAAAGGGAUGCUAAUACCGCAUACGUCCUACGGGAGAGAGCAGGGGAUCACUUGUGACCUUGCGCUAAUAGAUGAGCCUAAGCCGGACUAGCUAGUUGGUGGGGCAAAGGCCUACCAAGGCGACGAUCUGUAGCGGGUCUGAGAGGAUGAUCCGCCACACUGGGACUGAGACACGGCCCAGACUCCUACGGGAGGCAGCAGUGGGGAAUAUUGGACAAUGGGGGGAACCCUGAUCCAGCCAUGCCGCGUGUGUGAAGAAGGCCUUAUGGUUGUAAAGCACUUUAAGCGAGGAGGAGGCUCUUUUGGUUAAUACCCAAGAUGAGUGGACGUUACUCGCAGAAUAAGCACCGGCUAACUCUGUGCCAGCCGCCGCCGUAA
Molecule: ribosomal RNA, 503 nt
Filed under: uncultured bacterium
Lineage: Bacteria
Description: partial 16S ribosomal RNA
Rfam family: Bacterial small subunit ribosomal RNA
Source: RNAcentral